Ostrea edulis (European flat oyster) is the source of this 882-nucleotide long non-coding RNA. RefSeq lists it as uncharacterized. The transcript is spliced from 2 exons. The record is from RefSeq and is a predicted model, not a curated record. NCBI's taxonomy places the organism in Eukaryota, Metazoa, Mollusca, Bivalvia, Ostreida, Ostreidae.
AGACCUUUCCAAUCCUAGGAGACCUAGAUGUCUCCCAAUGAUAGAUAAGUCGCAUACGACCAGUGCAUUAAAGAUAAGGAUUAAGCUAUUGUUUUAUAUGAAACGAUGGCACCAACCACGUUGAUUUUCUUCUUCUGCUUAGGAUUUGCUUUCAGUCGAGAAAAUGUCGAAGAGGAUAUCACUGAUAUUAAGGAUGUUCUUCGGAAAGCUAUAUCAGAAAUUGAGGAACUGAAACAGGAAGUGCGAGAAAUCACUCCGCUCAGACGUAAAAUCCGUAGUUUGGAGGUGGAAAAUUCCUUGCUCAGGCAUAAAUAUGGAAAUUUGGCAGAAGAAGUCAUCAGGCUCUGCGUGAUGUUGUUGGGAGGGAGUACCGAAGAAAUAAUGACUCGGGUGUUCACGGCGAAGUAGAAACCAGCCCCAGCCGCCCACGUAUUCGAAUGCUUUCCCCAGACACAUCGAUUGCAACUUCCAACACGGUCGCCUUCUUUGUCUACAUAUCAUCCAACGAACCCAAUCCAAGCAUCCAUCACACAUUGAUAUUUGACGUCAUAAAACUUAAUUUGGGAAAUGGUUACAACCGAUACAGCGGAAUUUUCUCCGCCCCAGAGGACGGGCUCUACGCGUUUUCGUAUGGUAUAACCUGCGGUCUUCAUGGUUCUUUGUAUUUUCAGUUCAUGAAAAACGGUAAUAUUUUAAUUGUUAAGAGAUGUGACAAUGAUGCAGAUUCAGAUGAUUACAAAGAACUGUCCGGAACAAUAAUUGCAGACCUGACGUCAAACGACAUCGUCUACAUUUCCACUAAACAUGCUUGUACAACGUACAUAGUUAGUUACGAGGACUCUCGCUCUUUUUUAGUGGAUGGAAAAUAAAUUGAAAUGUUUU